This 490-nucleotide long non-coding RNA is filed under the name Anser brachyrhynchus (Pink-footed goose). RNAcentral's name for it is "lncRNA (ENSABRG00000000326.1)". The record is from RNAcentral. Lineage: Eukaryota; Metazoa; Chordata; Aves; Anseriformes; Anatidae.
CAGAUGUCCUCUUUAGAGAUUUUAAUAUAAACACCGUUAACCCACAGAUUCUUUUUGAAGAAAUGCCAGUUGCAUAGAAGAAUGCCAGUUGGCAUGAAUGUAACUUGAACAUUUGACAUAUUAAUAGAUAUUUUUUUUUCUGAGCAAAAUAGAUUUUUAUUUUUUUAUAGAGAAGGCAUGUCUGCUUUAGUUCUCUAUUAGAGUCCCAGCUUGCAAUAUCUGUUUGCUUGCAGUGAUGUCAUUAACUAGAAAACAGAUGCACUCAUGAGCAUCAGAAAUCAAUCAUUGCUGUUGGCACUUUAAUAAACAGCUGCCUUCUUAAAUGGUUUGGAAUAAACACUGAUCAUCACCAGCUCUUUUUGAAGGAAGAUCGGCACGCGAUGGGGAUCUUACAGUUAGACCCACAUGCAAGCCUGGCUUUUCAGAAGAAGACUACACAGCAUUCGUCUCCCAAAGUAUCAUGGAAGGGCAGAAGCUACUGAAAGUAAAA